UGAGGAAUAUUGGUCAAUGGGGGCAACCCUGAACCAGCCAAGUCGCGUGAAGGAUGAAGGUCUUAUGGAUUGUAAACUUCUUUUACACGGGAAUAAAGCGGGGGACGUGUCCCUCUUUGCAUGUACCGUGUGAAUAAGGAUCGGCUAACUCCGUGCCAGCAGCCGCGGUAAUACGGAGGAUCCGAGCGUUAUCCGGAUUUAUUGGGUUUAAAGGGUCCGUAGGCGGACUUAUAAGUCAGUGGUGAAAGCCUGUCGCUUAACGAUAGAACUGCCAUUGAUACUGUAAGUCUUGAGUAUAUUUGAGGUAGCUGGAAUAAGUAGUGUAGCGGUGAAAUGCAUAGAUAUUACUUAGAACACCAAUUGCGAAGGCAGGUUACCAAGAUAUAACUGACGCUGAGGGACGAAAGCGUGGGGAGCGAACA
RNAcentral lists this ribosomal RNA (422 nucleotides) under uncultured bacterium. RNAcentral's name for it is "bacterial SSU rRNA". It matches the Rfam family "Bacterial small subunit ribosomal RNA", at positions 355 to 774 of the family's 1533-position model. The record is from RNAcentral.